GAAACGCUGGCGGCGUGCUUAACACAUGCAAGUCGAACGGUGACGAGGAGCUUGCUCCUCUGAUCAGUGGCGAACGGGUGAGUAACACGUGGGCAACCUGCCCCUGACUUCGGGAUAACGCUUCGAAAGAGGUGCUAAUACCGGAUAUGAGUCCCUCCGGCAUCUGAGGGACUGGAAAGUUUUUCGGUCAGGGAUGGGCCCGCGGCCUAUCAGCUUGUUGGUGAGGUAACGGCUCACCAAGGCGACGACGGGUAGCCGGCCUGAGAGGGCGACCGGCCACACUGGGACUGAGACACGGCCCAGACUCCUACGGGAGGCAGCAGUGGGGAAUAUUGCGCAAUGGGCGAAAGCCUGACGCAGCAACGCCGCGUGAGGGAUGAAGGCCCUAUGGGUUGUAAACUGCUUUUAGCCGGGAAUAAACACCCGUUUUAUAACGGGCCCGAAGGUACCGGCUGAAUAAGCAUCGGCUAACUCCGUG
This 478-nucleotide ribosomal RNA is filed under the name uncultured bacterium. Its description in RNAcentral is "bacterial SSU rRNA". It matches the Rfam family "Bacterial small subunit ribosomal RNA", at positions 32 to 507 of the family's 1533-position model. The record is from RNAcentral.